GUGCUCACUUCAGCAACAUAUAUAGUAAAAUUGAAAUGAUACAGAGAAGAUAAGCAUGUCCCCUGCACAAGGAUGACAUGCAAAUUCAUGAAGUAUUCCAUAAAAAA
Ictidomys tridecemlineatus (thirteen-lined ground squirrel) is the source of this 107-nucleotide small nuclear RNA. Lineage: Eukaryota; Metazoa; Chordata; Mammalia; Rodentia; Sciuridae. The record is from Ensembl.